UACGGGGGGGGCAAGCGUUGUUCGGAAUUACUGGGCGUAAAGGCUCGUAGGCGGCCAACUAAGUCGGAUGUGAAAUCCCCCAGGCUCAACCUGGGAACUGCAUCCGAUACUGGAUGGCUUGAAUUCGGGAGAGGGAUGCAGAAUUCCAGGUGUAGCGGUGAAAUGCGUAGAUAUCUGGAGGAAUACCGGUGGCGAAGGCGGCAUCCUGGACCGACAUUGACGCUGAGGAGCGAAAGCUAGGGGAGCAAACGGG
Molecule: ribosomal RNA, 253 nt
Filed under: uncultured bacterium
Lineage: Bacteria
Description: partial 16S ribosomal RNA
Rfam family: Bacterial small subunit ribosomal RNA
Source: RNAcentral